Molecule: ribosomal RNA, 530 nt
Filed under: Variovorax sp. SA009
Lineage: Bacteria; Pseudomonadati; Pseudomonadota; Betaproteobacteria; Burkholderiales; Comamonadaceae
Description: bacterial SSU rRNA
Rfam family: Bacterial small subunit ribosomal RNA
Source: RNAcentral
GUGCCCAAUCGUGGGGGAUAACGCAGCGAAAGCUGUGCUAAUACCGCAUACGAUCUACGGAUGAAAGCAGGGGAUCGCAAGACCUUGCGCGAAUGGAGCGGCCGAUGGCAGAUUAGGUAGUUGGUGAGGUAAAGGCUCACCAAGCCUUCGAUCUGUAGCUGGUCUGAGAGGACGACCAGCCACACUGGGACUGAGACACGGCCCAGACUCCUACGGGAGGCAGCAGUGGGGAAUUUUGGACAAUGGGCGAAAGCCUGAUCCAGCCAUGCCGCGUGCAGGAUGAAGGCCUUCGGGUUGUAAACUGCUUUUGUACGGAACGAAACGGUCUUUUCUAAUACAGAAGGCUAAUGACGGUACCGUAAGAAUAAGCACCGGCUAACUACGUGCCAGCAGCCGCGGUAAUACGUAGGGUGCAAGCGUUAAUCGGAAUUACUGGGCGUAAAGCGUGCGCAGGCGGUUAUGUAAGACAGUUGUGAAAUCCCCGGGCUCAACCUGGGAACUGCAUCUGUGACUGCAUAGCUAGAGUACGG